ACAACAAUCAGCUGAAUUAUUUCCCACAUUAUCUUGAUAUGGAGAUGAAACGGGGUGUGAGUGUGAUUAACAGCUGCAGAGCUGCACUCAACACAGCCUCUCUGUAAUGUUUAUGCAAAUCUGCAUCUCCUCUUGUAAUAUUAGCAGCGUUCUGAUCUAGAGAGGAAACACUUCUCAUUAGUCUUCCUUCAACACAAACAUGUUUGCUUCAGCUCCACUGCUGCUGCUGGCUCUCGCCCCCUAUGUGUUGUGUGCUACUGAGCUCAUCCAGCCAGACUCACUGCUUAUAAAGCCAGGAGAGACUUUAACCAUCACCUGUAAAGUGUCUGGAGCUUCUAUCACUGAUAGCAGCAGCCACUUUGGAACAGCUUGGAUUCGACAACCUGCAGGAAAAUCUUUAGAAUGGAUCAACACCAUUUUUUAUGAUGGAGAUAUUUAUAAGAAAGAUUCACUUAAAGACAAGUUUGUGGUCUCUCGAGACACUUCCAGUAACUCUGUGACCUUACGGGGACAGAACAUGCAGACUGAAGACACAGCUGUGUAUUACUGCGCUCGUGUAACACACAGUGACACAACAAGCUGCAGUGCUGCACAAAAACCUCAUCACAAUUCACUUCUUUAAUUAAAUAACAACUACAUUUUACUGAGUAACUAAUCCCCAUAUUACAAAUAUUUCAGCAUAGACACCAACACUGGCAUUAAUAAAAUAAAUAAAUAAAAAUUUACUUAGGAAUAAUAGUCUCUUUUUUAACCGGUUGAAAUGAAAUGUGUCUGCAAAAGACAUUUAUUAUAAAGAACAACAUCCAUUCACACUCAGCACUCAGGCUUUAACUCUUCAUCCUGAAUGAACAAAAACCAUCCAAAAACUCCUCAAUCUAUAUCUAAUAAUUAAUAAGAAUCCAAUGUAAUUAAAUGUG
Molecule: non-coding RNA, 917 nt
Organism: Tachysurus fulvidraco (yellow catfish)
Lineage: Eukaryota; Metazoa; Chordata; Actinopteri; Siluriformes; Bagridae
Source: the annotation of a RefSeq genome assembly